This 256-nucleotide ribosomal RNA is filed under the name uncultured bacterium. RNAcentral describes it as "partial 16S ribosomal RNA". It matches the Rfam family "Bacterial small subunit ribosomal RNA", at positions 524 to 779 of the family's 1533-position model. The record is from RNAcentral.
UACGAAGGGUGCUAGCGUUGUUCGGAAUUACUGGGCGUAAAGCGCGCGUAGGCGGCGAUGCAAGUCAGAGGUGAAAUCCCCAGGCUCAACCUGGGAAUUGCCUUUGAAACUGCAUUGCUUGAGUGUCGGAGGGAUAGCGGAAUUCCUAAUGUAGAGGUGAAAUUCGUAGAUAUUAGGAGGAACACCGGUGGCGAAGGCGGCUAUCUGGACGACGAACUGACGCUGAGGCGCGAAAGCGCGGGGAUCAAGCAGGAUU